AUGGAGAAUGCAUGUCAAGUGGCCAUGGAAUUUAAAUCCGGAGGACACACCAGAAGUCAUAGUAACAUACUGGAACAAUUGUGUGGCCAACGAGGCAACAACAGAGGAAACCACAGCAGAACAUGGAGGGAAGGUGGAACCAAUCAUUGUAGAACCCUAGAGGAACAGAAAUACAGAACACAGGAUGGACUGGAGAUGUCUAUUUUCAAUUGUCUUUUGUUUUAAACCAGUGUUAUCUUCAUGUCACACGACUUAGGCACUAGCUAUGUCACUCCCUGCUACCAACACACAACCCCUAGCACAAUGUCCUAGUGGACCUUAAAACCUAGUAGUCAAUAGAAUUUUCAAAGCCAAGUGGUUUGAUUUUAUUUCUGUGAAUGAACUUCACACAUAUUCCUUAAACACACAUCUGUGACACACUGCAACACCGAAUAAUAAGAUACACUGUACAUAUAAGCUAUAUUUAGUUAUAAAAUGUCAUUGGAUUGUUUAGAUAAGAAUAAUUAUUAUUAUUAAUAAAGAACAAAAAUGUCAUCUAUAAAAUAUGUAAACUUUUUGUGAAUUACAGGUUUGUUUACAUACAAAUAUAAACAUAUUGUUAUUAUUGUUGUUAUUGUUGUUGUUAUUAUUAUUAUUAUUAAGAUCUGUCUGGCCUACCUUAUAUCCAUCUCUGGCAACUGAUUCUAAUUUUUAUCUAUUAAAUAUAUUCCUAUUGAAUGCUCUCUAAGAAAUGUACCAUUGCUCAUCAGAUCUUAAUUUGUAAAAAAAAAUAAAAAAUAAUUCCUUUUAUCUGUAACCUGUUGUUUCUAUCCCUUAAUUUGUGUUGGACUCCCCUAGAACCCUCAAAUGAAUCUCUGAACCUGCUGUUUAAUUUGUGUUGGACUCCCCUAGAACCCUCAAAUGAAUCUCUGAAGCUGCUGUUUAAUUUGUGUUGGACUCCCCUAGAACCCUCAAAUGAAUCUCUGAACCUGCUGUUUAAUUUGUGUUGGACUCCCCUAGAACCCUCAAAUGAAUCUCUGAACCUGCUGUUUAAUUUGUGUUGGACUCCCCUAGAACCCUCAAAUUAAUCUCUGAACCUGCUGUUUAAUUUGUGUUGGACUCCUCUAGAACCCUCAAAAUCAUCUCUAGACCUGCUAUUUUUUCAUUCUCCCCCUGUAAUCAGGAAUGUAUAUAAACCUGGGCCACCAGGUGGGAGUUAAUGAUCAGGUAGAACAGAAAAUCAUCUGGCUCCGGACCUCGUAGGGUAGGAUUUGAAUAUCCCAUGCCCUUGCACAGGGGUAGGCAACCAACCCCGUUCCUGGAGAGCCGUAGGUACUGUACUACAGCAUGUUGUCCCAACUAGGCACCUCGUCUAACCAACUGAGAUAAUGAAUCAGUCCAGUGAGCCUAAAUUCAAUACACCUGGUGUUCUUCCAGGUCGGUUAAAGGAAAAAACAUGAAGUGCCUGCAGCCCUCUAGGGUUGCCUAGCCCUGCCCUAGCGUCUCUGUGCUCCCCUUUGCUCCUGUAACAACUGUAGUAUUGCCACAGUAGUCUAUGAAAUAACACAUGUAGAAAAGCGUUUAUUCUCCUAACAUUCCUCUCGGGGAGAAGUCUAUCUUGUGUACGAAAUUGUUUGGUCUAUUUUUCUAUUUGUAUGUUUAAUACCUAAACAUGGCAAAUAAAAAUAUAUAUUUAAUCAGAAUACAAAUGAGUAAUUACCACCACCUACUCAUUAUCUUUGUGUGUGUGUGUGUGUGUGUGUGUGUGUAUUUCGUAUCUAUUGAAUUUCACCAGAGAGGUUGGCGGAGGCUAAUUAUACUAUCUACCAAAAUCAGUUGACUUUCAACGUGAUCAAAGCAACAACUCUGGUUUCUAUGGUUACCACCCCGGAUAGACUGACAGGACAAACAUAUAUUGAACUAAAAUAUAAACGCAACAUGCAACCAUUUCAAAGAUCUUAUUGCGUUACAGUUCAUAGAAGAAGAAAAAAUCUGUCAUUUGAAAGAAAUUAAUCUUGGCCUCAUCUGUGGAUUUCACAUGAC
This is a long non-coding RNA of Oncorhynchus mykiss (rainbow trout), 2022 nucleotides long. The record is from Ensembl. Lineage: Eukaryota; Metazoa; Chordata; Actinopteri; Salmoniformes; Salmonidae.